This 5420-nucleotide long non-coding RNA is filed under the name Zea mays. RNAcentral describes it as "long non-coding RNA (ZMAY_LNC001096)". The record is from RNAcentral. Lineage: Eukaryota; Viridiplantae; Streptophyta; Magnoliopsida; Poales; Poaceae.
AACCAACAGUGAGGAGCAGGCCAAGACGUGAAAAGAGGCCCAACUCAAGGUUGAGUGGGCUGGAAUGGACCCACUAGGGUGUGUGCGUUCUGUUUGCCAGUGAGAUUGGAGAGGGGAUUAAAAAGAGAACAGGGGAACCUUGAGCGUGUGUGGAGGAUUUUGGAGAACCCUUGGCCGGCUGCGUCCGGAUGGUGGGCUAAUCAGCCCUGUAAUCUCCACCAUACUCUAUAUUUCUGAGAUCUUCGUGAGAGGAGAAGUGUGCCGGGAGCGGUGCACAUCCCACCCCAAUUUAGUGUUCUCACAACUGGUAUCAGAUUCAUCUGUCCGAUCCUGGCGGAACCACCAAGCUACGUGCUGCGUCCGCAGUACAAAACCCGCGCCCAGAAGCAAUCCGACGCCAUGGAGCAAGGCAUCGCUGAAUUAUCCAAGCUACUUCAAGCGAUGCAGUCCCAGAAUGAAUCAAUCAAGACAGCUCUGGAAGAAAAUACUGCAGCAGUUCGUGAUCUGUCCUCUUGGAGACCUCACAUCGAGGCGGAUGUGGGCGAUCUACGGGUGGAGAUGAGUCAGCUCUCUGCCCAGGUGAAAGAAAUGGCGGCUAUUCAAGGGGAUUACUAUGCUGCACGCAAGGUGUUCGACGAGGGUUCUGAGGAGCAACUUCUGUCGAAGAACACCCAGAGGGAAACUUCUCUUCUUCCUGCGGGACAGGAACAUGAUGCGUAUGGCGCUGCAACAGCUAACCGGGGUGCUGGAUUUGGGGUAGUAACUACCCUGACUCCGCCUCCGGUCAAAGGUAACAAUCUUCUUCCGCAUCUGGGUUUUUCUGCUCAGCCGUUGAACCAAGCAGUACAUUCCAGUUUAUCACCUUACUCGGCAAAUCUGGCAGCGGCUUUACCCAACAUGAGUUUUCCUCAAUUUGAUGGACAUCAUCCUAAAAUGUGGAAAGUGAAGUCUGAGUCAUAUUUUGAGGUGUUUGCUAUACCUAGUGAAUUAUGGGUGAAAAUAGCCACUAUGAACUUUGUGGGUUCGGCAGCAUUUUGGCUUCAAUCAAUGGAUCCGGCUUUGCGUCUCACACCUUGGCUUGAUUUUUGCUCAGCCGUGUGUGCUCGUUUUGAGCGUGACCAUCACAACCACCUCAUUAGGCAGUUUUUUCGCAUUAAACAGUAUACUAAUGUUACUGAAUAUGUGGAACAGUUUGACAGUCUGAUGCAUCAAAUUUUGGCUCAUGAUCCAUCAUUUAGUAUGUCAGCCAUAGUAAAUCGUUUUGUUGAUGGUCUUAGACAGGAUAUUAAAGCAGUUGUGUUUAUCCAGCGCCCAUUAGACCUCGAUACUGCCGUCUCUCUUGCUCUUUUACAGGAGGAGUUACUGUCCCCAAGAGUUCAGCAGCAGUUUAAGCGUUCUGAGGACCAACGCAGUAGCAGCAACACUUCGGGGUUUCUACCAACAUCAUUUUCAACUGCUCAAAUUUCUGAUAAGUUGAUUCGCUCACCAGAGACAAAUUUUCGUACACCAGGGGACUGUCAAAACCAGAAUACCGAGACAAGAAAAGCCUCUGCUCUGAUGGCGUAUAGAAAAGCAAAGGGAUUAUGCUAUAAGUGUGGUUUAAAAUGGGGGCCUACUCAUACUUGCAGCACGACGGUGCCUUUGCAUUUAGUCGAAGAGUUGUGGCAGAUGUUUGAUAUGCCUCAAGUGGUCGAAGAUCAUUUCAGUCAUCCUGGAGAAGCGCAUGGAAAUUUGAUGGUUUUGUCUGUGAAUGCUGUUCUGGGCACAGAAGCACCACAAUCGAUAAAGUUAGCAGCCACUAUGUUUGCGAAAUCUGUCAUUAUGCUAGUAGACUCAGGGAGUUCAUCAUCUUUCAUCAGUGAGCAACUAGCACGGUCGGGCUCACCCAGAGUCCCUUUGCAACAUCCAGUCCAAGUGCAAGUAGCUAAUGGACAAGUUAUUCAAUGCACACAUCAAGUAGUGGAUUGUAAAGUGUAUGUGGGCGGCUAUUGUUUCAAGAUGGAUUUGAAAAUAUUGCCAUUAAAUUGUUAUGAUGUGAUUUUAGGUAUGGAUUGGCUGGCUUCUAACAGUCCAAUGCAUAUUGAUUGGCAAGAAAAGUGGCUAGUUUUUUACAAGGAACAAACAAAAGUGGUGUUACAAGGGCUAAGAUCUGACUUAUGUUCUUUGGACCCAGUUUCAGUGCCUCAUCUUGUUCAUUUGGACUCUUUGGAUGAAUUGUGGUGUAUAAUUCAAUUACAAACAGUGAAAAAACUUCCUGAAGACAACCUUCCAGCAGAAAUCCAGCAGUUGAUUCAAGAGUAUGCUUCUCUGUUUGACAAGCCAACAGGACUGCCACCUGCACGGUCUCAUCAGCACACAAUUCCUUUAGUAACGGGUGCAGUUCCCUUCCGUCUACGUCCUUACCGUUAUAACCCAGCUCAGAAGGAUGAGAUUGAAAAGCAAAUUUCGGAGUUGCUUCAAAAUGGGAUGAUACAACCUAGUAGCAGCCCUUUUGCCUCUCCUAUCAUUCUGGCAAGGAAGAAGACAGGUGACUGGCGUUUGUGUGUGGACUAUCGGCGCCUCAACGCCCUCACGGUGAAAAAUAAGUACCCCUUACCUGUAAUAGAUGAGCUAUUGGAUGAACUACAGGGAGCAGUGUGGUUCUCUAGUUUGGAUCUCAGUGCUGGCUAUCAUCAGAUUCAGAUGGAUCCGAAGGAUAUUCCUAAAACGGCGUUCCAAACUCAUCAUGGGCACUUUGAGUACCGGGUCAUGCCCUAUGGACUCACCAGUGGUCCAGCCACUUUUCAGUUAACAAUGAAUUCAGUUCUGGCACCGUUUCUUCGUAAAUGUGUGGUAGUGUUUAUAGAUGAUAUCCUCAUCUAUAGUGCAACUUGGCCCGACCAUUUGUGUCAUCUAAGAGCAGUUUUCGAUACCUUAAGGAACCAGCAACUGAAAGUCAAAUUGUCCAAAUGCUCAUUCGCGCAAAUCAAACUACAAUAUUUGGGGCACGUGAUCAGUAAGGAUGGUGUGGCAACAGAUCCUUCGAAAAUUGAGGCAGUGCAGUCAUGGCCUAGUCCCAAAACGGCGAAAGAGGUUCGCAGUUUUUUAGGACUAGCCGGGUACUACAGGAAGUUCGUAAAAAACUUCGGAAUCAUGAGUCGCCCACUAACAAACCUACUCAAAAAAGGCCAAGUGUUUACUUGGCAUGAGACCCAGGAGAGAGCUUUUCAAGCACUAAAACAGGCUUUGAUUACAGCUCCAGUACUAGCACUUCCGGAUUUCUCAAAAAAAUUCGAAGUGGAAACCGACGCAUGCGACACAGGGAUUGGAGCUGUGCUGCACCAAGCAGGUCACCCCAUUGCUUUUGUGAGUAAAUCUUUGGGUCCUCGUCAUCAAGGAUUAUCAACAUAUGAAAAAGAAUGUUUGGCUAUUUUACUAGCAGUGGAUCACUGGCGUUCCUAUCUGAUGAGUGGUGAGUUUAUUAUUCGCACGGACCAAAGGAGUUUGGUGCAUUUGGACGACCAAAGACUCACUACACCCUGGCAGCAAAAAGCAUUAACCAAAUUAUUAGGCCUACAGUACCAAAUCUGUUACAAGAAAGGCCAAGAAAAUAGGGUGGCAGAUGCACUAUCUCGGUUACCAACAGGUCAAGUGUUGUCCCUGUCAACAUUGAAAAACACCUGGUUACAAUCAGUGUCUGAAUCUUAUGCUCAGUACGAUGAUACAACACCUAUCCUUCAGUCAUUGGCAGUUCAGUCACCGACUGGGAAUUAUAAAUUGAAGGAAGGACUCAUAUUAUACAAGGAUCGUAUACUAUUAGCAGCAGCAUCUGAAUGGCCAUUGAAAAUAUUUCAAAGCCUGCACAACACACCAAUUGGAGGGCAUUCAGGAUUCUUGGUAACUUACCAAAAGAUAAAGAAGUUGUUCAGGUGGAUUGGUAUGAAAAAGAUGAUUCAGCAGUGGUGUCAAAACUGUCCAAUCUGUCAACAAGCGAAAUCGGAACGGGUUCCGUACCCAGGAUUACUUCAACCGUUACCAGUCCCUGAAGGUGCUUGGCAGUUGGUCUCAAUGGAUUUUAUAGAAGGUCUUCCGCUCUCGGAUCAUUCAAACUGCAUAAUGGUUGUAGUUGAUAAAUUUUCAAAAUAUGCUCACUUCAUUCCUCUCCACCAUCCAUUCACAGCGUUAGCUGUCGCGCAUCAAUUUAUGGAUAAUGUCUUCAAACUGCAUGGAUUUCCUCAAGCACUAAUCACGGACCGUGAUCGCAUCUUUACAAGUGCUUUGUGGCAAGAAUUGUUCAAACUGGCCGGAGUGGAAUUGCGAUUCACUACUGCUUACCACCCUCAAUCCGAUGGUCAAACGGAGAGGGUAAAUCAAUGUUUGGAAACAUACCUCCGUUGUUUCACUCAAGCAUGCCCAUCUAAAUGGAAAAGAUGGCUUGCGUUAGCGGAAUUUUGGUAUAAUACUAGUUAUCAUGCUUCAUUGAAACUGACCCCUUUUGAAGUGCUUUACGGCUAUCCUCCAAGACACCUGGGAAUUGAAUUUACCGAGUCCAGUACAGUCCCUUCACUUCAGCAGUGGCUGGCUGAAAGAAAGCUGAUGGUACAAUUGGUUCAACAACAGUUGGUGAGAGCGCAACAGUGUCAAAAGCAGCAGGCUGAUCGCCACAGGUCUGACAGAAACUUCAUGGUGGGUGAUAUGGUAUAUUUGAAACUACAACCUUACGUCCAAUCGUCUUUGGUCAAGCGGGCAAAUCACAAAUUGGCAUUCAAGUUUUUUGGUCCAUAUCCAGUAAUUGCCAAAAUCGGGUCAGUCGCUUAUAAAUUGGGUCUCCCACCUUCUUCAUCUAUACACCCGGUAUUCCAUGUUUCACUUCUGAAAAAGGCUUUGGGGUCCAAUAUGCAAGUAAGCUCCACUCUACCACCUUUACCAGAUUCAUUACAGAAACCUGUGAGGAUUUUGCAGCGUCGCCAGAUGCAAACACACACAGGAGUGGUACCCCAACUGCUGAUACAAUGGACUGACUGGCCUGAAGAACUUGCAACAUGGGAAGACGAAGCUGCGAUCAUCGCCAGAUUCCCGGAAGUCGCGGCUUGGGGACAAGCCGUCACUGAAGGAGGGGAGAAUGUCAUGACAUCUAAUGAACCAACAGUGAGGAGCAGGCCAAGACGUGAAAAGAGGCCCAACUCAAGGUUGAGUGGGCUGGAAUGGACCCACUAGGGUGUGUGCGUUCUGUUUGCCAGUGAGAUUGGAGAGGGGAUUAAAAAGAGAACAGGGGAACCUUGAGCGUGUGUGGAGGAUUUUGGAGAACCCUUGGCCGGCUGCGUCCGGAUGGUGGGCUAAUCAGCCCUGUAAUCUCCACCAUACUCUAUAUUUCUGAGAUCUUCGUGAGAGAAGUGUGCCGGGAGCGGUGCACAUCCCACCCCAAUUUAGUGUUCUCACAC